UCCCUGGUGGUCCAGUGGUUAGGUCCUGGCACUUUCACUGCCAAGGGCCCAAGUUCAAUCCCUGGUCAGGGAA
Molecule: transfer RNA, 73 nt
Filed under: Bos taurus (domestic cattle)
Lineage: Eukaryota; Metazoa; Chordata; Mammalia; Artiodactyla; Bovidae
Also listed under: 6 other names
Rfam family: tRNA
About the family: Transfer RNA (tRNA) molecules are approximately 80 nucleotides in length. Their secondary structure includes four short double-helical elements and three loops (D, anti-codon, and T loops).
Source: Rfam by way of RNAcentral